UACGGAAUGUGCAAACGUUAUUCGGAAUCACUGGGCUUAAAGAGUCCGUAGGCGGCAUGUUAGGUGAGGUGUGAAAUCCCCCGGCUCAACCGAGGAAUUGCGCUUCAAACCGGCGUGCUUGAGGAAGAUAGAGGUGGGCGGAACUGAUGGUGGAGCGGUGAAAUGCGCAGAUAUCAGGAGGAACACCGAUGGCGAAGGCAGGUCUCUGGGCCACUACUGACGCUGAGAAGCGAAAGCAUGGGGAGCGAACAGG
Molecule: ribosomal RNA, 253 nt
Filed under: uncultured bacterium
Lineage: Bacteria
Description: partial 16S ribosomal RNA
Rfam family: Bacterial small subunit ribosomal RNA
Source: RNAcentral